UGUAGUUGAGCAUCACCUGUGUGAUCAUGAGAAGGCUGAAGAACCAGGGGUGACAAGAUAUCACCGGCUGCUGGGGUGCAGCAUUAAACCCAGGGACAGACAUUUUGGAAAUGAAAAGUCUCCUGCCACAAGAUCUUAGGAGCCAGAGCAGAGCCAGAC
Long non-coding RNA from Perca fluviatilis (European perch), 159 nucleotides. RefSeq lists it as uncharacterized. NCBI's taxonomy places the organism in Eukaryota, Metazoa, Chordata, Actinopteri, Perciformes, Percidae. The record is from RefSeq and is a predicted model, not a curated record. The transcript is spliced from 3 exons.